Molecule: ribosomal RNA, 253 nt
Filed under: uncultured bacterium
Lineage: Bacteria
Description: partial 16S ribosomal RNA
Rfam family: Bacterial small subunit ribosomal RNA
Source: RNAcentral
UACGGAGGGGGCAAGCGUUAUUCGGAAUUACUGGGCGUAAAGGGCUCGUAGGCGGCCAACUAAGUCAGACGUGAAAUCCCCAGGCUCAACCUGGGAACUGCGUCUGAUACUGGAUGGCUUGAAUUCGGGAGAGGGAUGCAGAAUUCCAGGUGUAGCGGUGAAAUGCGUAGAUAUCUGGAGGAAUACCAGUGGCGAAGGCGACUUCCUGGCCUGUUCUUGACGCUGAGGCGCGAAAGCUAGGGGAGCAAACGGG